UGAACUUCCCUGUGGCUUUUUCAAUACUUGCUUGUCCCAGACUGCAAUUCCUCUGCUGUUCCCAAAUAAACACCUUCUGAUGGUCUUUCUACUCUGCCUGGUCCAGAAGGCACUGUGAUCCUGUCAGCAGCCGCCCAAGGGCAAAGCAGCGAUGUCUGAAUGCUACGUGAAUGCUGCUUUCCGUGGCUGCUGGCACUGGUGUCUUCAACCCUGCUAUGAGCUGCCGUGAGGAAAAAAUUGCAUGUCCCUAGGUGCUGCUUUAUACCCUGGAGGCAAGGCUGACUCCCUUCGCUCCAUUUACCUGUGUCCUGUACUCUCCUCCGCAAGAUGCUCCAAAUCCACCGAGCAUUUUAUGUGUGUCUUCCUCUGAUUAAAGCAAUGUCAGAACAUGGACCACCCCUGCUGAAUCCCCCACUGGAUUGCUAGUGCCUUAUUACACAACAAACACUUGCUGAUUUAAUACUUUUGGAGGAAAGAGUCAU
This is a long non-coding RNA of Suricata suricatta (meerkat), 482 nucleotides long. RefSeq lists it as uncharacterized. NCBI's taxonomy places the organism in Eukaryota, Metazoa, Chordata, Mammalia, Carnivora, Herpestidae. The record is from RefSeq and is a predicted model, not a curated record. The transcript is spliced from 4 exons.